Molecule: long non-coding RNA, 4931 nt
Organism: Dicentrarchus labrax (European seabass)
Lineage: Eukaryota; Metazoa; Chordata; Actinopteri; Moronidae
Source: Ensembl
AUCAUUAUCUGACUGAUGCAAUGUUCACAUUCACCUAGCACAAACACAUGAACAGGGAGAAGAUGAUCUGGAUCCUUCUGCUCGUCGGCCUGACCUCCUCUGUCUGUGGGAUGUUUGUCUUGAAAAAGACUCCGACCUUCUAUCAGGCAGAGGAGGACGAUAACAUCACCAUCGGAUGGGACAGUCCCAUCAUGUCCCUCACCAUCCUGAGUUGUUUCUUCCAGUCAGAGCCUCUGAAGCUUUUCUAUGAAAUGGUUGACGGUGUGGAGUCCUCAGAGUCUCAGCAUCAGCAGUUUGCAGGACGGGUGCAGUGUGACAAAGGCGCCCUCAGAGGAGGACGAGUCAGACUUCAUGUGUCCAGAGUCACGACUGAUGACUCUGGACGUUACUGGUGUGAUCUGGCUGCUAAUUAUGACAAGAUCAGGAGAAGAUGGAGGCUAGAGACCACUGAACAUUUCAUCCUGAAUGUGACCUCUGGUGGAGACAACAGUGAUGUGUUCCUCACAACACCAAUGUUACCUGAAGAUCCAAACCACACAGCAAAAGAGCCGAAGAAGGAAAACAAAUCAGCUUAUUGGGAUAACGUAAAAAGAGGUAUCGGAGCUGCAAAUGUCGGACUUGUAAUAUUUGGUUCUAUAAUAUUAGCAGCACUCAAUUUUCCCUCUUCUAUUGUUUGGAAUGUGAUAUACAAACAAGAUUCUGCAAGUUGACUCUCAAACUGCACUGAAACAAGCUUUUGCUCCAUACCAGCACUUUCAACUACUAACAUAUACUUAACUCAUUAAUCUGAAUAUAUUGUAGUGGUGUGUGUUUGUACAUAUUGUAUUGUAUAUAUUUCAUAUUGAAUGCAGUGAUUGUAGAUGUAUAUCUGAAUGUGUUUGCCUUCGUCCAUGCAGUCCAUUGAAACUUGAGUCAGAGCAUCCAUCACAGUGGUGGAUGUGAGAAAAGUUACUAGCUCACAAUAUGGGUCAGAGGAAACAGUGUGAUCACAGUUUCGUACCAUGGACAAAAAAUAUAGUAGUUUCUCGUUGGCUGAGAUAAAAGAUAAACCUGCCUACCUCAUCUACCAUGUAUAAUCUAUGACAUUUCACAUUUUUUUUUACCCAUUUUGUAUUUAAAGCUCAAUGUGAGGAAUUUAUUCAUGAUAAAAUAUAUUUUUCUUUAUAUUCUAUGGAUCAUGUAGCUGACUCCUGCAGGAUGUAAUGAAGUGUUCAGGUUCCCUGAAGAUCCUUUAGAUCUGCCUGUUCUGAUGUGUUAUGUACACUGGCAAUAAGCUUUAACCUUUUCUUGUUGUAAUGUGCAAUUUAAACUGAAAUGUACUGUUACUGUUUUAUUGUUGCGGUUAUUUACUGUGUUACUGAUUAUAAUUCUUUCAUUGUAUGUGUGCUGUAAGAAAAGCUUUGAGUUGUUCACACUGCUAUUAAGGAUGAAGAUCAGCAGAGGGAGCUCUUUACUUUAAGUUAGGUCGUCUUGUUUCAGUGGAUUUUGUUUUCCAAGUUAAGGUUGUGAAAAGCUAUCAAGCUUUCAUUAGUUGCAUUUUGGUUUAAAGUAGUUUCACUAAGAAGAUUAAUAUUAUAUACGUAUGUGAUUUAAUUGAUAACAUUCUUCCUCUUUUAUUCACUUUAUCUUAUGAACUUUGGUUUUAUUGAGUGUUUAAGAUUUUAUACCUUAAAGUUAAAUAAAUAAAUCUAAUGAAUAUUUCUGGAAUAAAAUAAAUAAAUACAAACUUUGUUGUUUCCAUUUUUGUCAGAACUUUCCUUUUUCUGUGGUUGUAGUAAAACACCAACUCACAUUAUACUAUGUGUACUAUGUACAAUAAGUACACAUUAUAAUCAGUAUGAAAGCACUGUAACAAUGGCCAUCAUAAUAUUAAGAUAUAAUCAUUAUUGCUGCUGUUCUUUUUAUAAUUCUGUGUCUUGUUGAUUCCAGUCAAACUUAUUCAAUAGUCUUAUAAAACAUGUUAUACUCUAUAUAUGAUUUUGUGUUUCCAGUUUCACUUCAAAUCUCACAUUCAAUUUCUCUGAGGCUUCAUAUUAAAAUCAUCAACUGAAGGCGGCUGCAGUUUUCAGAAGCAGUGUCUCUCCACUGACCACAGUGCAUGAUGGGAAACUCUCUGCUUGCCCCCUAAUAUAAAACUUGUUAUGCAAUGCGUAUUAGUAGUAGCCUCUUUGUUAGUCAUUACAAAGUAUGAAUGCCUUAUUCUGAAUGAGCUCAUUCUACAACUACUAGGCCAUGAAGAGUUUCCCCUCAAUAACCUGCUAAUUACUGAUUAUUGACACUAACUGAGGAAGUUGUUGUCAUCAAUUAUGAUCUUAAUGUGCUUUGUUCAGUAUGGACAUUAUAAGGUGGUUGUACCACAAGAACGCUCAUUCUCUCUUAAUAACACUUAAUAAAUAUGCUCUAUUCUAAUGUAACAAAACAGACAGUUGAACUAUUAAAGGUGGUGGGCUGUUUUAUUCAUUUCAUUAUGUUUUUUUAAAGAAAUCCAUGAAAGAAAAAUACCUAAAUAGACAGAUCAGUUUAAAGUCUUAACGUUUAUUGUCAUUGUUUUUGAUCAACUUUUACUUCUUGACAUUCUGGGUGUCUUGAACACACCCAAGUAAUAACAGCCUCUCUCAUAUGAAAAUAGGAUUAAAAAAUAAAUGUACAAACAGUACAUUAGGAAACUGUGAAUCAACAAGACAACAGAAUUAUAACAACUAAUUUAAACACAAAACCAAAGAAUACAAUGUAAUACAAAAAUAUAUAUUUUAUAUUACAAUUAGUUUUCUGACACUUUAAACAGAUGUUGAAGGUAGAGAGUGUCAGAGUCUGUUGGUUUCAUCAGUCAGGUGAUAAACAGUUCUGAUAGAAAGUCCUCCAGACAGAGUCCUGUUAGUCCUGAUGGGUUGUGUCAACAUCUGUACAGCUGCAGAGAUGUUUCCUGUUAGCACGUUUCACUCACACGACCGGAGACUUUUCUUUUCUUUGUUUCUUUUUUUUUUUCUCUGUGGUAAAUCUUCUGUCCGUCUGCUCGCGGCCACUUGUGACACCACGUGUUGUCUUCUUGAACUUAUAAUAAGCAGACGAGGCGUGAUAGCUGGUCUUUCAUGUUUACUUCACAACUUGCACAUAACAACAGUUCAGUGCUACCCGCGUGGCUACAAACAACAACCGGCAGUAAUGGAGUUCUUAACCUAGUGUACUCAUAACAUCACAGUAGGAGGUCCUCUAAUGGAGCUACAGGCUAUCUACAGUACUCAGAUCAAUGUCACGCCUCAACACACGUCACGAACACUCCUGCGUGUGUACAUAAAGCUGUCGUACACAAAUACAAAUACAAACAGCAACUGGAGCACUUUAGGAGUUGAAAGGAUCGAACCGACAACCUUCCGAUUAGUGACCGACUCACUCUACCUCUGAACCACAGUCUCUCUGUCAGUAUAGUAUCUGUGGAACUUGGAACAAGGAAGAGACGAUGACCACCCGUUUGUUUUAACUGCAGACAGCCAGGUGAGUAAUGAAUCCUAUAUUGAUGUUGGUGUUCAGUGCGGUUAUUUCUUGAAUGACACCCUGGGCGAGACCCCCUUCUUGUUAGCCAUUUCACACAAUUCAGAAAAACAAAAAUGUGCAUGAACUAUAAGCCUGUAUUUAUUAUAUUAUAUAUAUAUAUAUUCUAUGUAUUAAUAAAUGUGCGUUAUUUAGAAGAAAGUCGAGGUAUGACAGUGGAUCCCCUCCUUGUCUGUUCCAUAUAAGGGAGACCCAGAGGUGAAGUGCCCCAACCCCCCCUCCCCUUCUCUGGUGACAAAGCACACAGACACUGAAGAGUAGAGCUGUUAAGGCUGGGCAGCAUGUGUAACUUCCUAAAUCUGACUAGUUAAUGAACUGUUAAUAUAUGUUGACCUGCCCUUUUCAACCAUCCAGUCUUCAAUGUUACUAAUUCUUUGAUUUUGAUGAACUCUCUAUUUUGAAAUGACAACGUUUGAUGUGUUCAGAUUUGGACACACUGGGUCAACUUGUAUGGGACACUGUUAGAGAUGUGUGUACCCAGACGUUUGUUGUUCAGUGUGGUUGAUCUGUCCAUAAAGCCAUUUGUAGAUUUCCUCAAGCAGUUUUAUCCUUUUGUUAACUGUGAUAUUGUAAUGCACCUGAUCUGAUAAAACAUCAUGUUUACUGAACAUGCUGUUUUUAUUGAUGCAUUUCAAACUUUUUAUCACACGAUGGUGUAUGACUCUUGACUUGGAGGAUUAAAUAGUUUGUUCAACAUAUUUCAAGGGGACUUAUCUACUUGUUUGGCUCUGAUUCUUAUAUUGUAAGAUCAGCAUCGUUGUUUGUGUUUAUUUAUCAUUCCUUUAUAUGUUGGCAGUAUUUAUAUUGAACCCUUAUUAAACAUGUUUAUUCCUUAAAACAACUAAAAUAAAGUUAAUAUAAGUAAAGUUAAAGAUAGUUAUAAAAAGUUCAUCAACCACUGACAACAUAUGUGUUGAACACAGUGUUCAACAGGGCAAUAUAUGCUGUACCUAGAACAGGUUAGUCAAGUUUUCUCUCAUUCUCACACAGUAAAAUAAUCACCUGGUACAAGGUUGUUCACCAUUAGUUGGUGCUGUUGUUGCUUCCUUGUCUGUCCACGUACUUUCAGCACAUGGUGUUUUUAUUAUAUAUGAAACUGUUGUUUCAUUUUUAUUUGUGGAUUCACACAAACACAUUUAAUCAAACUUCAUCUGAUGAUUGUUUUACUGAGUAACCAUCAAAGAUGUUGGAUUGAACUCUCAAUGUCCUCUUCAGCUCCAUGUUUCCUGCUGAUGGUGCAGAGUUUAACCUCUGGUGUCAUCAUAUAAAAAGAUAUACAUCACUAUGUAUGUGUUUAUGACUCUUCACCGCUGUCUCCUCUCACAGGGAGAAGAUGAUCUGCUGGAUCCUGCUGCUCAUCAACCUGACCUCCUGUGUCUGUG